UUAUUUAAUAUUUUUAAAUUAAUUUAGAAUAGAUUAGCAAUCCCUCCUAAUCCCCGGCCUAGAACGAUACCCUACUUACAUCUAUACUACAAUUGUCAAAAAGAGGGUUUAAUUUGUGUGUCAAGAAAUUCUCGCACCAAAUUUUGGCGCCGUUGCCGGGGAUUAGUAACUUUGCUAAUCCUUUUAUUUUUGUUUUUGUUUAUGUUUAUAUUGGUGUUUGUGUAUUUUACUUUUGAUAUUUGAUUUAUUUUUCUUUCUUUGAUUUUAGGUACAAAUGGAGCUGAGGGAAAUUUAAAGGAAAGAUGCGUCCGGCUAAAGACGUUAAAUCAAGCGCUUCUUGGGAGGCAACCCAAGCAUUCAACGAAGGGAGACUUUGGAAUCGCUAACCCAAUCAGAUUUGCAUUUUUACACCCUUAUCUUUGCUGCUUUCAUUUUGUUUUGUUUAGUUAGUUGUGUUAUUUGGUUGAUUUCUGUGAGUUUGUAUUACUUAGUUUAAGUGUGGGGGAAGGUUAACCAAAGUCUCUUUACAUUAAUUUACAAAAAAAAAAAAAAAAAAAAUUAAAUUAAAAAAAAAAAAAAAAAAAAAAAAGAUAAAAUUUAAAAUUAGUGA
RNAcentral lists this long non-coding RNA (610 nucleotides) under Malus domestica (apple). Its description in RNAcentral is "long non-coding RNA (MDOM_LNC010460)". Lineage: Eukaryota; Viridiplantae; Streptophyta; Magnoliopsida; Rosales; Rosaceae. The record is from RNAcentral.